GUGCCAGCCGCGGUAAUACAUAGAGGGCAAGCGUUAUCCGGAAUUAUUGGGCGUAAAGGGUGCGUAGUGGCCAUUUAAGUCUUUGGUGUAAGUGCAGUGCUCAACGCUGUGAUGCUAAAGAGACUGGGUGGCUUGAGUGUGGUAGAGGCAAGUGGAAUUCCAUGUGUAGCGGUAAAAUGCGUAAAUAUAUGGAGGAACACCAGUGGCGAAGGCGGCUUGCUGGGCCAUAACUGACACUGAGGCACGAAAGCGUGGGGAGCAAACAGGAUUAGAUACCCUGGUAGUCCACGCCGUAAACGAUGAGUACUAAGUGUUGGAGAAAUUCAGUGCUGUAGUUAACGCAAUAAGUACUCCGCCUGAGUAGUACGUACGCAAGUAUGAAACUCAAAGGAAUUGACGGGACCCCGCACAAGCGGUGGAUCAUGUUGUUUAAUUCGAUGAUACGCGAAGAACCUUACCAGGUCUUGACAUCCCUUGCAAAGCUCUAGAGAUAGAGUGGGAGGUUAUCAAGGGAGACAGGUGGGUGCAUGGUUGUCGUCAGCUCGUGUCGUGAGAUG
RNAcentral lists this ribosomal RNA (557 nucleotides) under uncultured Caryophanales bacterium. RNAcentral describes it as "bacterial SSU rRNA". It matches the Rfam family "Bacterial small subunit ribosomal RNA", at positions 505 to 1074 of the family's 1533-position model. The record is from RNAcentral. Lineage: Bacteria; Bacillati; Bacillota; Bacilli; Caryophanales.